CAGGCCUACGCUACUCUUGUCCAAAGGAGUCUUUCCAAAAAGCACAGCACCAGGGUUUGAUCUUGCCUGACCUCCGAGGGAGAGUCGGGACAGCUGAGUGUCACUCAGUGUGGUGCGACUCGCCUUUCCUGAGCGAGAGUCCAGCUCGACAGUCACUCCAAGGUGGUGAAGCUGUUUUACUGUGGCACUGAACACCUGAUCCUGCCCUGAAACUACAGCUCUCUGCGGUGGGCUCUGUUCCUUCUGUAUGGGUUCGUUUGGAGGUGAACGCCUGGGUGACAGAUUGUGCCUGAGGUGGCCGUUGUUGCAUGGCUGACGUCCCGUUUUUCCAGGCACGUGAUUGGCUGUUCCGGUUGGCGCAGGCUAUAAAAGACCUGGAGCACGAUGGAGCGUUUUUCCCCCUCCCCUGGCUGCCCGCCAGCCGACAGACCAGUUAUUGUUGGUGGCUUGCUGGCCUACAGGUACAUGUGGGCCAGUGAAGAUACUUUUGUAAUUUUGUUUCUUUCUUUUUUAGAAAGGAAACGUAAGGGUGGCCUGCCCUUUUUUUGACCUGUUGGACUUGUUUAUUGGUAGUGUAGUGACGGUAGUCAAGUCAAGUCUAAUUUAUUUUUCAUAGCGCUUUUUACAACUGAUGUCACAAAGCAGCUUCACA
Pygocentrus nattereri (red-bellied piranha) is the source of this 652-nucleotide long non-coding RNA. RefSeq lists it as uncharacterized. NCBI's taxonomy places the organism in Eukaryota, Metazoa, Chordata, Actinopteri, Characiformes, Serrasalmidae. The transcript is spliced from 3 exons. The record is from RefSeq and is a predicted model, not a curated record.